GGAGGUAGUGACAAUAAAUCACAAUGCGGGACUAUUUAGUUUUGCAAUUGAAUUGAGAACAAUGUACAAGAGUUAUCGAUAAACAAUUGGAGGGCAAGUCUGGUGCCAGCAGCCGCGGUAAUUCCAGCUCAAAUAGCGUAUAUUAACGUUGUUGCAGUUAAAAAGCUCGUAGUUGAAGUGUGGGAUAAUGUAUAUUGGAUCUUUUAGUGAAGAUAUAUGUUGUCCCCCCUCCAAUUUCGGUCUGUGGGUAUUAAUUUACUUGCAGUUCGUGUUGGUCAUUUACUGUGAGAAAAUUAGAGUGUUCAAAGCAGGCAUUUGCUUGAAUAUAUUAGCAUGGAAUAAUAUUAAAAGGCUUGUAUGGUCGAUUUAAUUGGUUUGUUCAUAUAAGCAAGAUUAAUAGGGACAGUUGGGGGUAUUCAUAUUCAAUAGUUAGAGGUGAAAUUCUCGGAUUUAUGGAAGAUGAACAAGUGCGAAAGCA
This 478-nucleotide ribosomal RNA is filed under the name Blastocystis sp. Its description in RNAcentral is "SSU rRNA". It matches the Rfam family "Eukaryotic small subunit ribosomal RNA", at positions 460 to 953 of the family's 1831-position model. The record is from RNAcentral. Lineage: Eukaryota; Bigyra; Opalinata; Blastocystidae.